AGCCUAUGGUCUUGGAGCGGCACCACUCAAGAAGGAUCUGUUUGAUGCUGCUGGCGCUGGACACCCCAAAACUCUGAGAGCGCUUCAGUUUGGGUUUGGACUCCACCGGUUUGGGACGGCUGUACAGAAGGAGUUGGAAAGCAGGCAACAAAGGGGAAAAAAAACAGAUUGUGAGACAGUCAGC
Scophthalmus maximus (turbot) is the source of this 184-nucleotide long non-coding RNA. RefSeq lists it as uncharacterized. The transcript has 2 exons. The record is from RefSeq and is a predicted model, not a curated record. NCBI's taxonomy places the organism in Eukaryota, Metazoa, Chordata, Actinopteri, Pleuronectiformes, Scophthalmidae.